UGUGCUUUGGGAUGUAUCUUCUUCAACAUGUUUCUUUUUGCUCAGAUACACCAUGAAGCAUGGGUGAGAUUUGUCAUCCUCAGCAUCAUUGUAGUUGGUACUUAUGCAUUUUAUGGGCAAUAUCAUGCGGAUCCAAAUUCAGAGGAGAC
Molecule: long non-coding RNA, 149 nt
Organism: Pyrus x bretschneideri (Chinese white pear)
Lineage: Eukaryota; Viridiplantae; Streptophyta; Magnoliopsida; Rosales; Rosaceae
Exons: 2
Source: RefSeq, a predicted model, not a curated record